AUAUUGCACAAUGGAGGAAACUCUGAUGCAGCGACGCCGCGCGCGUGAAGAAGGUCUUCGGAUCGUAAAACUCUGUCCUUGGUGAAGAUAAUGACGUUAGCCACUGAGGCAGCCCCGGCUAGCUACUUGCCAGCAGCCGCGGUAAUACGUAGGGGGCUAGCGUUGUCCGGAUUUAAUGGGCGUAACGGGUGAGUAGGCGGUUGCAUAAGUCAGAUGUAAAAGGCUGAGGCUUAACCAUAGUAUGCAUUUGAAACUGUGUGACUUGAGUACAGGAGAGGUAAGCGGAAUUCCUAGUGUAGCGGUGAAAUGCGUAGAUAUUAGGAGGAACACCAGUGGCGAAGGCGGCUUACUGGACUGUAACUGACGCUGAGUCACGAAAGCGUGGGUAGCAAACAG
Molecule: ribosomal RNA, 396 nt
Filed under: uncultured bacterium
Lineage: Bacteria
Description: partial 16S ribosomal RNA
Rfam family: Bacterial small subunit ribosomal RNA
Source: RNAcentral